GGUUAAGCGACUAAGCGUACACGGUGGAUGCCCUGGCAGUCAGAGGCGAUGAAGGACGUGCUAAUCUGCGAUAAGCGUCGGUAAGGUGAUAUGAACCGUUAUAACCGGCGAUUUCCGAAUGGGGAAACCCAGUGUGUUUCGACACACUAUCAUUAACUGAAUCCAUAGGUUAAUGAGGCGAACCGGGGGAACUGAAACAUCUAAGUACCCCGAGGAAAAGAAAUCAACCGAGAUUCCCCCAGUAGCGGCGAGCGAACGGGGAGCAGCCCAGAGCCUGAAUCAGUGUGUGUGUUAGUGGAAGCGUCUGGAAAGGCGCGCGAUACAGGGUGACAGCCCCGUACACAAAAAUGCACAUGCUGUGAGCUCGAUGAGUAGGGCGGGACACGUGGUAUCCUGUCUGAAUAUGGGGGGACCAUCCUCCAAGGCUAAAUACUCCUGACUGACCGAUAGUGAACCAGUACCGUGAGGGAAAGGCGAAAAGAACCCCGGCGAGGGGAGUGAAAAAGAACCUGAAACCGUGUACGUACAAGCAGUGGGAGCACGCUUAGGCGUGUGACUGCGUACCUUUUGUAUAAUGGGUCAGCGACUUAUAUUCUGUAGCAAGGUUAACCGAAUAGGGGAGCCGAAGGGAAACCGAGUCUUAACUGGGCGUUAAGUUGCAGGGUAUAGACCCGAAACCCGGUGAUCUAGCCAUGGGCAGGUUGAAGGUUGGGUAACACUAACUGGAGGACCGAACCGACUAAUGUUGAAAAAUUAGCGGAUGACUUGUGGCUGGGGGUGAAAGGCCAAUCAAACCGGGAGAUAGCUGGUUCUCCCCGAAAGCUAUUUAGGUAGCGCCUCGUGAAUUCAUCUCCGGGGGUAGAGCACUGUUUCGGCAAGGGGGUCAUCCCGACUUACCAACCCGAUGCAAACUGCGAAUACCGGAGAAUGUUAUCACGGGAGACACACGGCGGGUGCUAACGUCCGUCGUGAAGAGGGAAACAACCCAGACCGCCAGCUAAGGUCCCAAAGUCAUGGUUAAGUGGGAAACGAUGUGGGAAGGCCCAGACAGCCAGGAUGUUGGCUUAGAAGCAGCCAUCAUUUAAAGAAAGCGUAAUAGCUCACUGGUCGAGUCGGCCUGCGCGGAAGAUGUAACGGGGCUAAACCAUGCACCGAAGCUGCGGCAGCGACGCUGAUGCGUUGUUGGGUAGGGGAGCGUUCUGUAAGCCUGUGAAGGUGUACUGUGAGGUAUGCUGGAGGUAUCAGAAGUGCGAAUGCUGACAUAAGUAACGAUAAAGCGGGUGAAAAGCCCGCUCGCCGGAAGACCAAGGGUUCCUGUCCAACGUUAAUCGGGGCAGGGUGAGUCGACCCCUAAGGCGAGGCCGAAAGGCGUAGUCGAUGGGAAACAGGUUAAUAUUCCUGUACUUGGUGUUACUGCGAAGGGGGGACGGAGAAGGCUAUGUUGGCCGGGCGACGGUUGUCCCGGUUUAAGCGUGUAGGCUGGUUUUCCAGGCAAAUCCGGAAAAUCAAGGCUGAGGCGUGAUGACGAGGCACUACGGUGCUGAAGCAACAAAUGCCCUGCUUCCAGGAAAAGCCUCUAAGCAUCAGGUAACAUCAAAUCGUACCCCAAACCGACACAGGUGGUCAGGUAGAGAAUACCAAGGCGCUUGAGAGAACUCGGGUGAAGGAACUAGGCAAAAUGGUGCCGUAACUUCGGGAGAAGGCACGCUGAUAUGUAGGUGAAGUCCCUCGCGGAUGGAGCUGAAAUCAGUCGAAGAUACCAGCUGGCUGCAACUGUUUAUUAAAAACACAGCACUGUGCAAACACGAAAGUGGACGUAUACGGUGUGACGCCUGCCCGGUGCCGGAAGGUUAAUUGAUGGGGUCAGCGCAAGCGAAGCUCUUGAUCGAAGCCCCGGUAAACGGCGGCCGUAACUAUAACGGUCCUAAGGUAGCGAAAUUCCUUGUCGGGUAAGUUCCGACCUGCACGAAUGGCGUAAUGAUGGCCAGGCUGUCUCCACCCGAGACUCAGUGAAAUUGAACUCGCUGUGAAGAUGCAGUGUACCCGCGGCAAGACGGAAAGACCCCGUGAACCUUUACUAUAGCUUGACACUGAACAUUGAGCCUUGAUGUGUAGGAUAGGUGGGAGGCUUUGAAGUGUGGACGCCAGUCUGCAUGGAGCCGACCUUGAAAUACCACCCUUUAAUGUUUGAUGUUCUAACGUGGACCCGUAAUCCGGGUUGCGGACAGUGUCUGGUGGGUAGUUUGACUGGGGCGGUCUCCUCCUAAAGAGUAACGGAGGAGCACGAAGGUUGGCUAAUCCUGGUCGGACAUCAGGAGGUUAGUGCAAUGGCAUAAGCCAGCUUGACUGCGAGCGUGACGGCGCGAGCAGGUGCGAAAGCAGGUCAUAGUGAUCCGGUGGUUCUGAAUGGAAGGGCCAUCGCUCAACGGAUAAAAGGUACUCCGGGGAUAACAGGCUGAUACCGCCCAAGAGUUCAUAUCGACGGCGGUGUUUGGCACCUCGAUGUCGGCUCAUCACAUCCUGGGGCUGAAGUAGGUCCCAAGGGUAUGGCUGUUCGCCAUUUAAAGUGGUACGCGAGCUGGGUUUAGAACGUCGUGAGACAGUUCGGUCCCUAUCUGCCGUGGGCGCUGGAGAACUGAGGGGGGCUGCUCCUAGUACGAGAGGACCGGAGUGGACGCAUCACUGGUGUUCGGGUUGUCAUGCCAAUGGCACUGCCCGGUAGCUAAAUGCGGAAGAGAUAAGUGCUGAAAGCAUCUAAGCACGAAACUUGCCCCGAGAUGAGUUCUCCCUGACUCCUUGAGAGUCCUGAAGGAACGUUGAAGACGACGACGUUGAUAGGCCGGGUGUGUAAGCGCAGCGAUGCGUUGAGCUAACCGGUACUAAUGAACCGUGAGGCUUAACCUU
This 2904-nucleotide ribosomal RNA is filed under the name Escherichia coli. RNAcentral's name for it is "23S ribosomal RNA". It matches the Rfam family "Bacterial large subunit ribosomal RNA". The record is from RNAcentral. Lineage: Bacteria; Pseudomonadati; Pseudomonadota; Gammaproteobacteria; Enterobacterales; Enterobacteriaceae.